Molecule: transfer RNA, 72 nt
Filed under: Desmophyllum pertusum
Lineage: Eukaryota; Metazoa; Cnidaria; Anthozoa; Scleractinia; Caryophylliidae
Description: Lophelia pertusa tRNA
Rfam family: tRNA
About the family: Transfer RNA (tRNA) molecules are approximately 80 nucleotides in length.
Source: Rfam by way of RNAcentral
UCUCUUGUAGCUCAGUGGUAGAGCGUUCGACCGAUGCGCGGAAGGUCAUAGGUUCGACUCCUGUUGGGAGAA